CCUACGGGAGGCAGCAGUGGGGAAUAUUGGACAAUGGGCGCAAGCCUGAUCCAGCCAUGCCGCGUGUGUGAAGAAGGCCUUCGGGUUGUAAAGCACUUUUGUCCGGGAAGAAAAGCCAGGGAUUAAUACUCUCGGGUUCUGACGGUACCGGAAGAAUAAGCACCGGCUAACUUUGUGCCAGCAGCCGCGGUAAUACGAAGGGUGCAAGCGUUACUCGGAAUUACUGGGCGUAAAGCGUGCGUAGGUGGUUCGUUAAGUCUGCCGUGAAAGCCCCGGGCUCAACCUGGGAAUGGCGGUGGAUACUGGCGGACUAGAGUGCGGUAGAGGGUGGUGGAAUUCCCGGUGUAGCAGUGAAAUGCGUAGAGAUCGGGAGGAACAUCUGUGGCGAAGGCGGCCACCUGGACCAGCACUGACACUGAGGCACGAAAGCGUGGGGAGCAAACAGGAUUAGAUACCCUGGUAGUCCACGCCCUAAACGAUGCGAACUGGACGUUGGGCUCAACUAGGAGCUCAGUGUCGAAGCUAACGCGUUAAGUUCGCCGCCUGGGGAGUACGGUCGCAAGACUGAAACUCAAAUGAAUUGACGG
This 587-nucleotide ribosomal RNA is filed under the name uncultured bacterium. RNAcentral's name for it is "bacterial SSU rRNA". It matches the Rfam family "Bacterial small subunit ribosomal RNA", at positions 338 to 916 of the family's 1533-position model. The record is from RNAcentral.